CAGUAGCCGCGGUAAUACGUAGGGUGCGAGCGUUAAUCGGAAUUACUGGGCGUAAAGCGUGCGCAGGCGGUUGUGUAAGACAGGCGUGAAAUCCCCGGGCUUAACCUGGGAACUGCGCUUGUGACUGCACAGCUAGAGUAUGGCAGAGGGGGGUGGAAUUCCCGGUGUAGCGGUGAAAUGCGUAGAGAUCGGGAGGAACACCAGUGGCGAAGGCGGCCAUCUGGGACAACACUGACGCUGAGGCACGAAAGCGUGGGGAGCAAACAGGAUUAGAUACCCCGGUAGUCCCUGUCUCUUAUAC
Molecule: ribosomal RNA, 301 nt
Filed under: uncultured bacterium
Lineage: Bacteria
Description: partial 16S ribosomal RNA
Rfam family: Bacterial small subunit ribosomal RNA
Source: RNAcentral